Molecule: ribosomal RNA, 1317 nt
Filed under: Triticum aestivum (bread wheat)
Lineage: Eukaryota; Viridiplantae; Streptophyta; Magnoliopsida; Poales; Poaceae
Description: partial small subunit ribosomal RNA
Source: RNAcentral
AUGGAGACGGUUGAUGCAGUUGAUGGAUACAAGUUUGCUGACGAGUCUACGAGCGAUGUCCGUGUUUGCUUUAGAAGGACCGGCGCUCGCGGCGAGCAGCCAGAAUGGUUUCCCUGCCACUCGUCCGUCCUCUCCAACAGGAGCAAGUAUUUCGCGGACCUGCUGGGUCAAAGUGAUGCCCGUUCUGGUGGUAGCAAUAACUGCAUUGAAGUCCAGUGCCCGAGGGCUGAGUAUGACCAUUAUGUCAAGUUGUUGAAGUUUAUGUAUCUUUCGAGAGAUUCGAUUGAGGACGCAAUCACCUCCGUUAAGUCGGCUCUUGGCGUUCUUCGGGCAGCGACCUCUCUCAAAUCCGAGUUCGUUGCGGAAACCUGCAUCGGAUACCUUGAAUCUGCUUCCUGGGACGAAAAGGAGGAGGAAGAGAUUUUACAGUUUGCUCAGACCCUGGCCCCAGAAGCUGCUGCACCUUUGUUAGCCCGUUUGCAAGCUCCCAGUGCCAACGCUGUCAAGACUGUUUUCAUCUCCGCUGUGCGCUUCGCUACGUCCAUGGAGACUUCAGCUGCUGCUUUCUUUGAUGACCUCAAGACUGCUGCUCAGGAGCAGAUUGACUUCAUGCUCCAUGACGGUGAUGACCCUGCAAUUGUUAUGAUGGAUGAAGAUGUAAGGUCUGUCUUGAGGGAAGGUUUGACAAAACUGUUGUCAACCCUUAGGACCGGACUGGAUCUCUUGGCCUCAGAGUUUGAUAAAUUGCCUGAACAAGCAGAGCAAAGGAUUGUGCGCAGCUUAGUUGACAUUGACUGGAUAACCACUGUCUUGACAAAGAUUGAGCUGAUGAACGAGUUUGUUUCUGGCUGGUUAGAAAUCUCAGACCAUGUUGUCUCGGUGGUUCAGGAGGAGAAGUAUAGCUCAGGUCUCUGGGCUGUGAAGACAAAGCUUAUAGAAGUGACUGGAAAGGCCUUGGAUGCUGUUGGCUAUGGCUCUGUGAUUCUCCCUUCAACAUCCAGAGCGCAUCUUGUGAAGACAUGGCUCCCGUACAUCCGGACAACAAAGCGCUUCCUUGAUGCAAAGGCGAAAGACGAGGCAUUCCCUCGGAUGGACGCGGGCUUGUGCCAGAACAUUGAGAGCGCAAUUGUUUCAUUGAUUUUAGCAUUGCCUUCAGGUGACCAGUCGGAUAUCCUGUCGGAAUGGAUGCAGAAAGCAGACCAGUUCAGAUACCCUGACCUCACCGAGGCAUUUGAGAUGUGGUGUUACCGCAGCAAAACAGCAAUCAGGCGGCUGAAUGGGGCGACAGAUAAGGGUUGCAACCCUAUCAGCUUGUAA